GAAGCUGUGAAACAUAUUCAAAGAUUAGUCAUGUCAUGUGACACUGAUAAGAAUUCAUAAACCAUGAGGUUGUAUAGCAUCAGUAAAAAAUAAAUAUGGAACUAGCAACAAAAGUUUGUAAAGUUUUGAAUGUCCCACUUUUUAAAAUUCGGAAAUAUCAAUCCUUUUCAAACCUUAACAUAACAUUCCUCAACUAACAAUUCUUUCUGACAAUCUAGUAACUAAGAAUUAUUGUACUGAUAGUCUCUCCCAAAAUGCUCUAUAGUAUUUUAUUUAAUAUUAUUCACUGAAUAAGUGAUGUGGCCUUUUUCUAAUCAAACGACUGUUAAAACAGGUUCAAGUCUACUUACAGUCAUAGCAGGAUAGCUUUGAUUGCUAUUGGACUGCUGAAACGUGGUACAAGGAUAAUUUACGUGGGCAGUGCCAAUUUCAAGAUCUUACCGUUGCAGUGAAAGUGUAAAGAGUUUCAUCAGCACACCCAUCCAUAUGAAUGCUGGCCCAGAACCACUAAAAGAAGAACGGAAAACAAUUGAAAACAAUUUCGUUUUUCAAUUGUUUUAGUUAGCCCAAGUAAUAAAAGGGCUACUGUAGAUCCAGAAGUUCCAAUCAAGGAAGGCUGAAGCAAGCAUUUCAAGAAUGUGGGGGUAGUUUACUUUCGGUAUACGUCCUACUUGCCCAUGUUAACGUGGUCGAUUCUAAAAGACUUCUACCU
This is a long non-coding RNA of Nematostella vectensis (starlet sea anemone), 712 nucleotides long. RefSeq lists it as uncharacterized. NCBI's taxonomy places the organism in Eukaryota, Metazoa, Cnidaria, Anthozoa, Actiniaria, Edwardsiidae. The record is from RefSeq and is a predicted model, not a curated record. The transcript has 3 exons.